RNAcentral lists this long non-coding RNA (7685 nucleotides) under Xyrichtys novacula (pearly razorfish). The record is from RNAcentral. Lineage: Eukaryota; Metazoa; Chordata; Actinopteri; Labriformes; Labridae.
CUUCAGAGGCAGCCGCUCUUUAAUGCUCCCUCUUAAUUUGUUUGCAGGUAACGACCUCCUGUCUAAUGAAUGCUAACUUCUUCAUUUAAUGAACCAUCUGCUGCGGCUGCUGCUGAAGAUGCUGCUGCUUCUACAUUCAUUCACCUUUCUUGAUUUGAUCCUCAAACAGAUCAGGAAGAUUCAGCGUGUAAAAAGGUUCAUCCUCAGAGGAGACCGAACAGUUUGAUAAAUGUUUUGUUGGUUUGCAGCGCUCCUUCAGAUCCAGCGUUUAGUCUGUGGCGAACGGAGGUUGAAGUGGGAUUUGAAUAUUUUAGUAGAUUUUGAUUUUCCUGAAAAGGUCAGAGACAUAAACGCUGAAAGGUUUAUUACUUCAUCAACGAUUCCCCCGACAGACUCUCACUGAAGCACAUUACAUUAACCUAAAGAGGGAAACACAGACCUUAUCAUGUUAUUAUGAGAUUUGGGGAGACAUAAUUACCAGCUCCAGAUCUCAUAAUUGCAGGUUGAACUGACAGUAAUAAUGAGGAAAGGUUAAGGUGGUUAUCAAUCAUGCAUAUUUAAGAAGACUGAACUUAUCUUUUAACGUCUCAGAGUGACGCACGAGUCGAACCGUCAGAUAGUCUCAUCAAACCGAUUCUGGACCAGACUAAAGUCUGCAGAGUCCAGCAUGAACUCUAAACUAGCACAUUCUGUAAGAUGUGUCAACACCCGCGAAAACCGAACUAUUGUCUUUUUCCAAUUAAGACCGGACAACUGAAGGUCAUGAUAACACCUUAGUCCGACUAUAAUCAGAGUUUGAGAACUACGAUAAAGACACCCAGAUAAUGUGAUUGGAAUUUGAUUUUCUCUAUCAUGUAACCAGUGUAGUCGGAGUAUGUCUGGACAAUGCAUGUGUGCGUGUGCCACGCCCCCGUAACCCUGGAACAAAACCCCCAGAGUAGAGGAGUAGCGUUGGUCUCAUCUUUAGAAAAAGUAGCGCAUCCAUCAUGACGGACAAAAACAACGCUGUACGAUGCUCCAUCUUCUUGUUUCCUCAAAAUGACCAGCAGCAGUUGUAGACACUUCUGACGUCUUUUCAGCGCCGCAGUAUGACUGUUCACUGUGAAACUGAGACUCCAGGAAAAACAGAUGGAUGGUCAGUUAAAGUGAAGCUGCUGUGUACUAAACUGGGACUCAUAAACAGAGAAGCAGGGGGCCAGCUUUAUGGAUCCUUUUAACAGGAAAACUGAGACUUCUUACUAACGGAAUCAGACAGCAGUGGAGCCCAGAGUAUUGGGGGAGGGGGGGGGCUCUGUGGUUCCCGUCCAAGUGUGUCUUUUUCUGCCAGAUGUUCCUCUGGCGUUUCCUCUUCCAGCAGGCUCGGUUGUUGGUCUGAAUAAGGAGGUCAGUCUGUUUGUGUUUGCUCUGCAGGAGGUCGGCGUAGUGACCCUGGAGAGAGAGAGAGAGAGAGAGAGAGAGAGAGAGAGAGACUGAUGUGAAGCCAACAUACGACCUGCGAGCUGCUGCCAGAGAUCCACCGAGACCUGGUCUGAAAGUCUGACGAUGGACAGAGACACCCGCCGACACCCCGAGCUGCUGGGAGAGCCAGAAAUACACACCACCAGAUGUUCAGUUAGAGUCCACGAAUCUGAGAGAGAGAGAGAGAGAGAGAGAGAGAGAGAGCGAGAGAGAGAGAGAGAGAAAUGUCAUCGGAGAGAAGAAGAAGAGAAUCAGGACACAUCUCUGAUGGAGGGAGUUGUUUAUUUCAUCGGGUUUCUGUUUAUCUGCAGAAAGUGUGUCAGCUUUCAAUAGAAGAGAUGCUGCUGUGUACGAGUGUGUGUGUGUGUGUGUGUGUGUGUAUGUGUGAAGGGAUGAAAGUGAGAGCAUGAAUCUCAGCGUGGACAGAAACACUUGGUCCGGAUGAAGUGAUGAACCACCGCAGGAGGCAGAGGAGCUGAGAUGUGUUGCCAUGGAGACGAGUUUCUUUCACAGCAUGAGUCGUUCCGAGAUAAUUGAAUAACCGCCAUCAGAUCUGUCCUUGGAUUUCUUAGAGAGUGUGUGCGCGCAUGUGUGUGUGUGUGUGUGUGUGUGUGUGUGUGUGUGUUUGUGUAUAAGUGUGUUGUGUAGAAAAGAAACUUUUUUCCACUCAGGUGUUUGUUCAUCAGAAAAUUACAUUUUAGACUUUAACACAUCUGAUGUAUCCUAAAUGACAGAUAAUCCCUUUAUUUUAUGGGGGGGUUCUGUUCAUCGCUGCUCUACCCCCAUCGUUUCUGCCUUCAUGAUGCCUGAUGAAGGGAAGGUGCUCUUCCUGCCGCUGGCCUUUCACGCAUGCUUACAUGGAGAACAGGGGCCCCUGAUAGAACCUCGCAUACGCUCCCUGAUAUCGCCUUUUCAUGAUGGCUCAUGAGGGGCAGGAAGGGGCUCUUCCUGUCUCUGGCUUCCACGCAAGCACUUGGAAGGGCAGGGACCCAGAGCAGAACUAUGCCGCCAAAUUUAACUUUGCACAAAAAAGCUGAAUUUUGACAAAAUGAUCCUGAGUGAACUAAAACUCUGAGGUUUGUUACAGCAAGCCUGAAGCAAGAUGGCCACCAUGCGCGGACGUUGGUCUCCAUUGGCUAACAGCGUGUGUAAGCCAUCUAGCGUUUAUAUAUAUAUCUAUGGGUGCUACAGCUCAGAAACAGCAACAAAAAGCUUCAGUUCAGAGAGAGGAGAGGAAGCUCAGACGAUGCCCCUGCAGGAGAACCGCAAGAACUACAACAGCUGCACCACCCACUGGAGCAGAGAAGAGGAACAGAGGCCUCUGAUUGGCUGUGAAAUGUCAGGAUGUCAAAAAACGCGGAAUUACCGAGAGCUUUUCAGCCUCAAAUCUGUAUACUGGUGGAAGGCGGAACCAAGUCGUCUAUAUUAUAAAUACAGUCUGUGAUGAUGACUCAGUGAGGACAAAGAGGUUUUAAAUAGGAGGAGUUAGUUUGUGUUUUAGGCCCUAAAAUCUCCUCGACGUUGAAACAUUUCUGUGAUAUUUGACUUUAAAUCAGACGGUCGUUUGUUUCCUCAGACACACACAGAGCCGAGGUUUAAAACCACAAACAGGCUGCAGAUAGAAGACAUUAUCUCUGUAUGAAACGUGUGUGUGUGUGUGUGUGUGUGUGUGUGUGUGGGUAGUUGCUGUGUGUCUCUGCUUGUUAAUAAAAAAACGGCCGAACAGAGACUCAGACCUGAGGGACAAACAGAGUCCACAGGCAGAAAACAAUAACAUGACUAAUCCUGUCUGAGACGUUACACGCACACACACACAUGCACACACACACACACACACACACACACACAAACACCUACACAGAAAACAAACAGGACUUCUUCUUCUGUCCCCAUAGAGAUAAAACUGCAGCUCCUGACCUCCAUCAUAUUUAGUGUAGACGUUACUCUGUGUGUGUGUGUGUGUGUGUGUGUGUGUGUGUGUGUGUGUGUGUGUGUUACACAGCUGAAUUAGCCAUGUCCAUAUCAGAUCUUUCAGUCUAACAGAGUUUUAGUGAGAACAGCAGAGGUCCUGGUUGAUCCCGGUCCUGGUUUCAGGGCAGCUGGACCUGCUCCAGGUUCUCGGAGAUGUUUCUCCUCCUCGGUCCGUUUCACCAAAGAUUACAGAAACAUCCUGAAAUAUGUAAAUUUCUCCUCUCAGACUCUCAUAACCUGAUCUGACUGGAGCAGAGUGUUUCUGUCGGAUCGGCCCGUCGCCCUCAGACAGCCCCUCGCUCUAACAGCCGUCUGACUCUGAGGGAAUCAGGUUGAAUUAUGGGAAAUAUCAGGUUAAAUCAGUUCGGAGAGGACGAGGAAAUUUAGCUUCAACAUGAAUUAAAUCCUGAACUGUCUUCAUAAUGUCCUCUGGUCUCCUCUGAAAACACACAGGGACGGUGUCAAAGGUUCACCUUUUUACAGGUGAUAUAUUGAAAUGGCAGCAAAAGGACUUUUUUACAGUAACGUUUAGAAAAUUGAACUUUUUCUACUUUAUUUACUUUUGGGAACAUUUACAUUUCUUCAAAUUUUGGAGCCGAUUUUCUGUGUUUAAACACUACAGGCCAAAAGUUUGGAAGCAAGGCCGUUACAGGCCGAACAGUUGGGAGUAACUUCAACUUUUUGUUAAAUCCAGCAUGAGUUUGAGGUAUUUUGGGAUGUAUUUACUCCAUGAUCAGAUGUUGCUUUCAUGGAGAUGUUUUUAGAAAGGCUGGUCUGAAGGGUUGUGUAUCUGCAAAUAAACACUACUUUGUUCACAGAACAAGAAAAAGAGACACGAGUGGGCAAAAGCUCACAAAAACUGGACUUAUGAUGAUAGAAACAAGUUUUAACUGUUUGGUUCCAAACGCAGAGUCUAUGUCCGCAGACAAACUGGUGAACGUCUGAAAGCUCCAUGUGUUACACCCACAAUUCAGCAUGGAGGUGGUAGCUCCAUGGUAUGGGGACGUUUAUCAGGUGAUGGAGUAGGAGAUUUGUUUGAAGUAAAGGGUAUCAUGAAGAAGGAACAGUACCACUCCAUCCUCCAGCACCAUGCUGCUCCAUCUGGACUCAGACUUGUGGCUCAUAAGUUUGUUUUGCAGUAAGACAAUGACCCUAAGCACUCUGCCGAGCUCUGUCAGGGUUACCGAGACAAAAGAGAAGAGGAAGGUGUUCUUCAGAAGAUGGUUUGGACCCCUCAGUCUCCAGACCUUUCUCCAAUUGAGCUUGCGCGGGAUGAAUUGGAUCGAUCGGUCAGAAAAACACGUCCCACGAAUCAGCGUCUCUUUUUAAUGAACUUAAGAAAGCUUGAAUGUAAUCCCUGGAACAGACCUUAGAAAACUUGGUAACGAAUGCCUGGUAUAUGCCGAGCUGUUGUUAAAGCCAGAGGGGGUUACUUUAGAGAAAGCAAAGUCUAAGCAACAAUAACUCAAAUACCUCAUAAUUAUAGUCAAAAUGUCUUCUAAUAAGUUACUCUUUACACAAUAGUCAUGUUUACUGUGUUGCAAAUUAUAUUUAUGAAACUAUGAUCUUGUUUUGUACAAAUCUGAUCUUGUUUCCAAACUUUUGGCCUUUAGUGUGUGUCAGAAGGAAAUCAAGAGUGAGCCUCACCAUGCUUUAUUUACCUCUGGGGUGAGAUUUUAAAUAACUUUAUAGAGGAAACUUUGAUAUGUUCAAUAUUAAAGAAGUUGGCUUCAAUAAAUAUUUUUCAAUAGAGCAGAAGGAGAGAAUAUAUUACAUUUAAGUGUAUUUUCUGUACUUCUCCUGGUGUUCCGGUCCCCCUGUAGUCCAGUCUGACCCUGUUUCCCUCCUCUUCUCAGUGUUUUAUUCUUUAAAUCAGUUUACAGUGUUUAUUUCCUGUUUUAUUUUGUAGUGGUUGAUUCUUUGUUUAUUUCCUGUUUUAUUUUGUAGGAGUUGAUUCCUUGUGUUCCUGUUUUAUUUUGUAGUGGUUGAUUCUUUGUUUAUUUCCUGUUUUAUUUUGUAGGAGUUGAUUCCUUGUGUUUCUCGUCUGGUUUUACUUCCCCAGUUUUCCCUCCUUCGUUAAUCCUUCAUCAGUCUCACCUGUGUCUCGUUUACCUGUUUGUGUAUAAAGUCUCUGUCUUUCUCUUUGUUCUGGUCGGUUCAUUCUGUCUCAGUCCAGAGUGAAACAAAGAAAAAAGGACCCAAAUGCAGACAAAAAAAGAUUUAUUUAAAAAAGAACUAAAUGAAAAAAACAACAAAAACGUUCUUUAAAAUGUCCGACUGAAAAAUCCAAAAGGCGCGUUUAUCCAGAGACCCUUUCUUACUUUUAUAUCACACACUGGGACGGCAGCUGUGGGGAACCUCUUUACGUUUUACAGAUUAUUAAAGAAUCACUCGAGCUCUUUUCCUGAGAUAAAUUCAACAUUUAGGGGGCGCUGUUCCACUUUUAGAGACCCCUCAGAUGACACCUGUGUACUCCUCUUCUGCAUAAUGAAGUCUAAGAGGAGUGUUUCUUCAUCGUUUGUCAGCCUGUCAAUAAAACACUCGUCGGAGUUGGAGCCUCUCUGGAAAUGACGCUGAGAGGAGGAGGAGGAGGAGGAGGAGGAUAUUUGGAGCAGCCUCUCCGAGUGACGGACAGGAGGUUUAUUACUAAUCUGACCGAGUAUCAGCCGCUCUGUCGCCUCAUCAGCACACAGAUAUCAAACUGAUUAAACUCUACAUGAGGAGGCAGAGCGACGCUGGGACCCACCACGGCUCUCCCACUCUCCACCUGUUGGGCUCUGUGUGUGUGUGUGUGUGUGUGUGUGUGAUUCCUGAUUCCUCUGAUAAAACCCUGAAGUCUUCGUCCCUCUCUUCCUCUUCCUCUUCCUCUGGGUUUGGCUCAGUCUUCGGUUCCGGGCUCCUGUGACUCUCCGGGCCUCGGUCCAGAGCGACUCCGGCUCUGAGCUGCUUACAGUAAUCGCACCUUUGACACAGUAAAGACUGAUUGUGCUGACGUCAGCGUGUUCUGUUUGUACUCAGUGUAAUUAACUCUAUUGAUUUACAUUUUUAAGAUUCAUUUCUAGACGCCUGAAGUUUCCAGCUCAUCGACCGGCCUUGGAUUAAAAAGUCCUGAAAGUUUGACUGAAAUGUUAAAAGUCCUGAAAAAUAAAAUACUUUAAAAAAAAACAACAUUAAAUUCUGUGAAGGUGGUUCAAUCAGACAACGAUCAUAGAGUUUAGAAACCAGCAGCUGCAGCAAACCUCAGAAUUGAAGAUCUGUUUUAUGUUAUUUAUAUUUUUUUAUUUAUUUUAUUUUAUCUUCAUUUUGAGCUGACAGUCACAUUUCUAAAGACUGGGGCAUCAACUUCAGUGAGAGAUCCUAUUUUCCUUCAUACACCUUUCACCUUUCUUCAGAGUCUUUCAAAAUUAUGCAUGUCACAAAUUUUCACUGUUUAUUCGUCGUCACAUGAUUUAACAGGAUCGUUGCUUUAAAUAAUUAAAGAUUUGAGUCGUUUUACAGUUGAAAUGGUUUUUAUCAUGAUUUACUUGAAGUAAUUUGAUAUUUGUUUUCCUCCUGCAGAAACUAAUGGUGAUCUGUUAGUACUGAACGACUCCAAUCAGAACAAGUAUUGCAGUUCCCAUCUACACACUGAACUAGUCGUCAUUCACUAUGAAUCCAAACAAAAGCAAUUAGUCGCUCUUCAUUAUCUGCCUACGAUUGAGCGCCAGUGACAUACAGCAUUUACAGAACACACACUAAUGAGCUCAGAAUUUAACAAUGACCUUUACUAAUAUUACAACCUCUCUCUCUCUCUCUCUCUCUCUCUCUCUCUCUCUCUCUAAACCAUAAAGACAAACAGACGAGGUGAUUUCAGUGACUCAGUUUGAUCAUUUUUAUUAUUUUUUUUUUUACCCACAAUCAGAGACUUGACCACAAUCUGAGCUGAGUCAGAAACAUCCAAACAGUCGGACUAAUAAAUGUGAUUAUUAUUACUAGAGUGAUUGAAAAGCUCAUAACAACAUGUAGAUCUGUCCAAAGUCUGAUUCUAGAUGUCUUUACAAACACACUGAUCCAACAGAAGCAGACAGAAAUAUCCAUCGAUCACAUGAACACAAAUAUUCAGCAAACAGAGAAAGAAACAGAUCAUCUGAAGAGUUUUUGGGGACGACUGGAAAGACUUUAGACGCUUGGAUUUGGGACAGGAAAUAAGGUCGUCCUUUUUCUGUGAUUUUGACCUCACUUUUUUCUAAAGUCUCAGACCUUCAACAUCUGCACCA